This 403-nucleotide long non-coding RNA is filed under the name Homo sapiens (human). RNAcentral describes it as "non-protein coding lnc-RHOU-4:1". Lineage: Eukaryota; Metazoa; Chordata; Mammalia; Primates; Hominidae. The record is from RNAcentral.
GCAGAAGAAUCACUUAAACCCGGGAGGCAGAGGUUGCAGUGAGCCGAGAUCACACCAUUGCACUCCAGCCUGGGCAACAAGAGUGAAACUCCAUCUCAAAAACAAAACAAAACAAAACAAAAAACACCAAAAAGAUCUCAAAUUAGCAACCUAAAUUUACAAUUUAGGCAACUAGAAAAGAAAAAAAACAAACAAACCCAUCAAAAAGUGGACAAAGUAUAUGAACAGACACUUCUCAAAAGAAGACAUUUAUGCAGCCAAAAGACACAUGAAAAAAUGCUCAUCAUCACUGGUCAUCAGAGAAAUGCAAAUCAAAACCACAAUGAGAUAUCAUCUCACACCAGUUAGAAUGGUGAUCAUUAAAAAGUCAUGAAACAACAGGUGCUGGAGAGGAUGUGGAGAA